This is a long non-coding RNA of Sciurus carolinensis (gray squirrel), 1033 nucleotides long. RefSeq lists it as uncharacterized. The transcript is spliced from 4 exons. The record is from RefSeq and is a predicted model, not a curated record. NCBI's taxonomy places the organism in Eukaryota, Metazoa, Chordata, Mammalia, Rodentia, Sciuridae.
UGCUGGGCCUGUCUUGGUUCGCCUGUGCGUGGUGUGCGCGCACACGGGUGGACUCCGUGGGAUCCGGGCAUAUGUAUUGCAUGUCUGUUUCUUCUUCGCGUGAGUGUGCCGUGGAUCGUGUGAGGGACUGUGAGGCCCACGGCCACUCUCUGGCUCUCCACAACGGAAUCCAUAAAUUCAGAGAGACAGGUGGACCGAUGACACACUGAGACCAAGAUCCCCACUGAGCUCCACGGACAUCCAUCUUCUAUCUCUGGCAGCAGCGUGCCUUUAGCUCCCUUUUUACCUUGCCCUUUCCAAGCCUCUAAAGAACGAUGGCUGCUUCAUAGCCCAGUGUACCGCGGCCUCUGUUUAGGGCAAGGUCUAUGGACUUCUGUGCUGAGAGAAAGGAUGCAUUAUUUUUUUGUCCUGGCCUAAACCCAAGAGGAUGAAGGCUCAGAGCAACUCUAGGGAGCCCCAGGCAGGUAGAGUGGAGCAAGUCUCAAGCAACAUGUUCUGAGAUUCCCCGGUUCCGGGGAGAAGCAACUGACAGGGAUGCCCCUCUGAGCCAGCUGCCACCCUCUCUGCCCAGAAUAGCAGUGCUGAAUUGAAACAUCCAUCUUGAGCCUUCAAUCUGCCUGUGCUCCGUGAGGAUCUCCACCAUGGAUCUAGGGCUGACUUUUGCCAAGUAAUCAGGGAAGAAAGAGAAGUAAAAGAGAAAAUGCAGGGGCUUAACAAGCAAACUUGAUGCUCUGGAAAGAAAACUCUGGCCUCUGGGUGGAACCGAUGUCAUUAGAGUCCUGAGGGCUGAAGUGGGAGAGGUGUGAACCUGGUUCACCUUCUGCAGCCCUGCCUACCAAUCCUAGAGAAGUCUUAGAAUUAUGUUCUAGAAUUCUCCAUUCAGUGUCAAGUCAGCAUGGCUCCAGGAUUGUCCUGAGAUGGUGAAAUAUUGGUGCUCAUUCUUCCUGAAAGGACAAGUUAUGCUCACCAAUCAUGUAUGUGUCUGCCUUUGGGAUGUUCUACAGAAUUUUUUGGUACCUACCACAGGAUACAU